GCGUGCGUAGCUCAACUGGAUAGAGCAUCGGUCUUCGAAACCGAAGGUUGGGGGUUCGAUUCCCUUCGCGCGCG
RNAcentral lists this transfer RNA (74 nucleotides) under Planctomycetota bacterium. RNAcentral describes it as "Planctomycetes bacterium tRNA-Arg". It matches the Rfam family "tRNA". Rfam says of the family: Transfer RNA (tRNA) molecules are approximately 80 nucleotides in length. Their secondary structure includes four short double-helical elements and three loops (D, anti-codon, and T loops). Lineage: Bacteria; Pseudomonadati; Planctomycetota. The record is from RNAcentral.